UAGGGAAUAUUGCACAAUGGGCGAAAGCCUGAUGCAGCAACGCCGCGUGCACGAUGAAGGCCUUCGGGUCGUAAAGUGCUUUUCGGGGAGAUGAGUAAGGACAGUAUCCCCGGAAUAAGGAUCGGCUAACUACGUGCCAGCAGCCGCGGUAAAACGUAGGAUCCGAGCGUUAUCCGAAUUUACUGGGCGUAAAGCGCGUGUAGGCGGUUCGGUAAGUUGGAUGUGAAAUCUCCUGGCUCAACUGGGAGAGGUCGUUCAAUACUGUCGGACUAGAGGGCGGUAGAGGGAGGUGGAAUUCCCGGUGUAGUGGUGAAAUGCGUAGAUAUCGGGAGGAACACCAGUGGCGAAAGCGGCCUCCUAGACCGCUCCUGACGCUCAGACGCGAAAGCUAGGGGAGCGAACGGG
This 405-nucleotide ribosomal RNA is filed under the name bacterium. RNAcentral's name for it is "partial 16S ribosomal RNA". It matches the Rfam family "Bacterial small subunit ribosomal RNA", at positions 355 to 776 of the family's 1533-position model. The record is from RNAcentral.